GAUGAACGCUGACAGAAUGCUUAACACAUGCAAGUCCACUUGAACUUCGGUUUGGGUGGCGGACGGGUGAGUAACGCGUACAGAACUUGCCUCACAGCUAGGGACAACAUUUGGAAACGAAUGCUAAUACCUGAUAUUAUGAUUUUAGGGCAUCCUAGAAUUAUGAAAGCUAUAUGCGCUGUGAGAGAGCUUUGCGUCCCAUUAGCUAGUUGGAGAGGUAACGGCUCACCAAGGCGAUGAUGGGUAGCCGGCCUGAGAGGGUGAACGGCCACAAGGGGACUGAGACACGGCCCUUACUCCUACGGGAGGCAGCAGUGGGGAAUAUUGGACAAUGGACCAAGAGUCUGAUCCAGCAAUUCUGUGUGCACGAUGAAGUUUUUCGGAAUGUAAAGUGCUUUCAGUUGGGAAGAAAAAAAUGACGGUACCAACAGAAGAAGUGACGGCUAAAUACGUG
This 454-nucleotide ribosomal RNA is filed under the name uncultured bacterium. Its description in RNAcentral is "partial 16S ribosomal RNA". It matches the Rfam family "Bacterial small subunit ribosomal RNA", at positions 28 to 507 of the family's 1533-position model. The record is from RNAcentral.